UACGUAGGGGGCAAGCGUUGUCCGGAAUCAUUGGGCGUAAAGCGCGUGUAGGCGGUCCGGUUAGUCGGCUGUGAAAACCUGCAGCUUAACUGUGGGCGUGCGGUCGAUACGGGCAUCACUGGAGUUCGGCAGGGGAGACUGGAAUUCCUGGUGUAGCGGUGAAAUGCGCAGAUAUCAGGAGGAACACCGGUGGCGAAGGCGGGUCUCUGGGCCGAUACUGACGCUGAGGAGCGAAAGCGUGGGGAGCAAACAGG
This 254-nucleotide ribosomal RNA is filed under the name uncultured bacterium. RNAcentral's name for it is "partial 16S ribosomal RNA". It matches the Rfam family "Bacterial small subunit ribosomal RNA", at positions 524 to 776 of the family's 1533-position model. The record is from RNAcentral.